This 1251-nucleotide ribosomal RNA is filed under the name Streptococcus pneumoniae. RNAcentral describes it as "bacterial SSU rRNA". The stretch from base 2 to 881 matches the Rfam family "Bacterial small subunit ribosomal RNA", at positions 9 to 873 of the family's 1533-position model. Lineage: Bacteria; Bacillati; Bacillota; Bacilli; Lactobacillales; Streptococcaceae. The record is from RNAcentral.
AGAGUUUGAUCCUGGCUCAGGACGAACGCUGGCGGCGUGCCUAAUACAUGCAAGUAGAACGCUGAAGGAGGAGCUUGCUUCUCUGGAUGAGUUGCGAACGGGUGAGUAACGCGUAGGUAACCUGCCUGGUAGCGGGGGAUAACUAUUGGAAACGAUAGCUAAUACCGCAUAAGAGUAGAUGUUGCAUGACAUUUGCUUAAAAGGUGCACUUGCAUCACUACCAGAUGGACCUGCGUUGUAUUAGCUAGUUGGUGGGGUAACGGCUCACCAAGGCGACGAUACAUAGCCGACCUGAGAGGGUGAUCGGCCACACUGGGACUGAGACACGGCCCAGACUCCUACGGGAGGCAGCAGUAGGGAAUCUUCGGCAAUGGACGGAAGUCUGACCGAGCAACGCCGCGUGAGUGAAGAAGGUUUUCGGAUCGUAAAGCUCUGUUGUAAGAGAAGAACGAGUGUGAGAGUGGAAAGUUCACACUGUGACGGUAUCUUACCAGAAAGGGACGGCUAACUACGUGCCAGCAGCCGCGGUAAUACGUAGGUCCCGAGCGUUGUCCGGAUUUAUUGGGCGUAAAGCGAGCGCAGGCGGUUAGAUAAGUCUGAAGUUAAAGGCUGUGGCUUAACCAUAGUAGGCUUUGGAAACUGUUUAACUUGAGUGCAAGAGGGGAGAGUGGAAUUCCAUGUGUAGCGGUGAAAUGCGUAGAUAUAUGGAGGAACACCGGUGGCGAAAGCGGCUCUCUGGCUUGUAACUGACGCUGAGGCUCGAAAGCGUGGGGAGCAAACAGGAUUAGAUACCCUGGUAGUCCACGCUGUAAACGAUGAGUGCUAGGUGUUAGACCCUUUCCGGGGUUUAGUGCCGUAGCUAACGCAUUAAGCACUCCGCNCCUUUUCUGAGGAUUAGGGUAGCGUGUCAAGAGUUGGUAGGUAUAUUCUGAAUGCUUUCCAACGAUUUUAUCCAACUCAGGAAAGAUGAUAUCAAGACAACGAGUGUAUUGUACUUUCCAAUCAGACUGUUUUUCUUGAGACGAUGAAUAUGUCUAGCCAGUAUUUUUAGUUCUACUUGCCGAUUAUCGUGUUGAAAUUGUUCACGAUUGGGGUCAGAAAGAAGUUUAAGAGCGAUGCCAUGAGCGUCUUUCUUAUCCGUUUUAGUCUUGCGAAGUGAUAAUGAUUUGGCAAAUUCCUUGAUGAGCAAAGGAUUGCAGGUGUAAACUUUAUAUCCUUGUUCAUGCAGGAAGUUCAGUAGAUUAAAGGCAU